UACGUAGGGUGCGAGCGUUGUCCGGAAUUAUUGGGCGUAAAGAGCUCGUAGGCGGUUUGUUGCGUCGACUGUGAAAACCUGGGGCUUAACUCUGGGCUUGCAGUCGAUACGGGCAGGCUAGAGUUCGGUAGGGGAGACUGGAAUUCCUGGUGUAGCGGUGAAAUGCGCAGAUAUCAGGAGGAACACCGGUGGCGAAGGCGGGUCUCUGGGCCGAUACUGACGCUGAGGAGCGAAAGCGUGGGGAGCGAACAGG
RNAcentral lists this ribosomal RNA (253 nucleotides) under uncultured bacterium. RNAcentral describes it as "partial 16S ribosomal RNA". It matches the Rfam family "Bacterial small subunit ribosomal RNA", at positions 524 to 776 of the family's 1533-position model. The record is from RNAcentral.